This 1409-nucleotide ribosomal RNA is filed under the name Lactiplantibacillus plantarum. RNAcentral describes it as "bacterial SSU rRNA". It matches the Rfam family "Bacterial small subunit ribosomal RNA". Lineage: Bacteria; Bacillati; Bacillota; Bacilli; Lactobacillales; Lactobacillaceae. The record is from RNAcentral.
CUUGCAUCAUGAUUUACAUUUGAGUGAGUGGCGAACUGGUGAGUAACACGUGGGAAACCUGCCCAGAAGCGGGGGAUAACACCUGGAAACAGAUGCUAAUACCGCAUAACAACUUGGACCGCAUGGUCCGAGCUUGAAAGAUGGCUUCGGCUAUCACUUUUGGAUGGUCCCGCGGCGUAUUAGCUAGAUGGUGGGGUAACGGCUCACCAUGGCAAUGAUACGUAGCCGACCUGAGAGGGUAAUCGGCCACAUUGGGACUGAGACACGGCCCAAACUCCUACGGGAGGCAGCAGUAGGGAAUCUUCCACAAUGGACGAAAGUCUGAUGGAGCAACGCCGCGUGAGUGAAGAAGGGUUUCGGCUCGUAAAACUCUGUUGUUAAAGAAGAACAUAUCUGAGAGUAACUGUUCAGGUAUUGACGGUAUUUAACCAGAAAGCCACGGCUAACUACGUGCCAGCAGCCGCGGUAAUACGUAGGUGGCAAGCGUUGUCCGGAUUUAUUGGGCGUAAAGCGAGCGCAGGCGGUUUUUUAAGUCUGAUGUGAAAGCCUUCGGCUCAACCGAAGAAGUGCAUCGGAAACUGGGAAACUUGAGUGCAGAAGAGGACAGUGGAACUCCAUGUGUAGCGGUGAAAUGCGUAGAUAUAUGGAAGAACACCAGUGGCGAAGGCGGCUGUCUGGUCUGUAACUGACGCUGAGGCUCGAAAGUAUGGGUAGCAAACAGGAUUAGAUACCCUGGUAGUCCAUACCGUAAACGAUGAAUGCUAAGUGUUGGAGGGUUUCCGCCCUUCAGUGCUGCAGCUAACGCAUUAAGCAUUCCGCCUGGGGAGUACGGCCGCAAGGCUGAAACUCAAAGGAAUUGACGGGGGCCCGCACAAGCGGUGGAGCAUGUGGUUUAAUUCGAAGCUACGCGAAGAACCUUACCAGGUCUUGACAUACUAUGCAAAUCUAAGAGAUUAGACGUUCCCUUCGGGGACAUGGAUACAGGUGGUGCAUGGUUGUCGUCAGCUCGUGUCGUGAGAUGUUGGGUUAAGUCCCGCAACGAGCGCAACCCUUAUUAUCAGUUGCCAGCAUUAAGUUGGGCACUCUGGUGAGACUGCCGGUGACAAACCGGAGGAAGGUGGGGAUGACGUCAAAUCAUCAUGCCCCUUAUGACCUGGGCUACACACGUGCUACAAUGGAUGGUACAACGAGUUGCGAACUCGCGAGAGUAAGCUAAUCUCUUAAAGCCAUUCUCAGUUCGGAUUGUAGGCUGCAACUCGCCUACAUGAAGUCGGAAUCGCUAGUAAUCGCGGAUCAGCAUGCCGCGGUGAAUACGUUCCCGGGCCUUGUACACACCGCCCGUCACACCAUGAGAGUUUGUAACACCCAAAGUCGGUGGGGUAACCUUUUAGGAACCAGCCGCCUAAGGU